RNAcentral lists this ribosomal RNA (454 nucleotides) under uncultured bacterium. RNAcentral describes it as "partial 16S ribosomal RNA". It matches the Rfam family "Bacterial small subunit ribosomal RNA", at positions 338 to 790 of the family's 1533-position model. The record is from RNAcentral.
CCUACGGGGGGCAGCAGUGAGGAAUAUUGGUCAAUGGGCGCGAGCCUGAACCAGCCAAGUCGCGUGAGGGAAGACGGUCCUAUGGAUUGUAAACCUCUUUUGUCGGGGAGCAAAAGACGCCACGCGUGGCGUUCCGAGAGUACCCGAAGAAAAAGCAUCGGCUAACUCCGUGCCAGCAGCCGCGGUAAUACGGCGGAUGCGAGCGUUAUCCGGAUUGAUUGGGUUUAAAGGGUGCGCAGGCGGAAGAUCAAGGCAGCGGUAAAAUUGAGAGGCUCAACCUCUUCGAGCCGUUGAAACUGGUUUUCUUGAGUGGGUGAGAAGUAUGCGGAAUGCGUAGUGUAGCGGUGAAAUGCAUAGAUAUCACGCAGAACUCCGAUUGCGAAGGCAGCAUACCGGCGCUCAACUGACGCUCAUGCACGAAAGUGUGGGUAUCGAACAGGAUUAGAUACCCCAG